ACUGGGCGCAGUGGCACGUGCCUAUAGUCCCAGCUACUUGAGAGGCUGAGGUGGGAGGAUCACUUGAGCCCAGGAAUUCUGGGCUGUAGUGCGCUAUGCCGAUCGGGCAUCCACACUAAAUUCAGCAUCAGUAUGGUGACCUCCUGGGAGCAGGGGACCACCAGGUUGCCUAUGGAGGGGUGAACCAGCUCAGGUUGGAAACAGAGCAGGUCACAGCUCUUGUGCUGAUCAAUAGUGGGCUUGUGCCUGUGAAUAGCCACUACACUCCAGCCUGAGUAACAUAGUGAGAACCCAUCUCUA
Unclassified non-coding RNA from Callithrix jacchus (white-tufted-ear marmoset), 300 nucleotides. It matches the Rfam family "Metazoan signal recognition particle RNA". From Rfam's summary of the family: The signal recognition particle (SRP) is a universally conserved ribonucleoprotein. The record is from Ensembl. Lineage: Eukaryota; Metazoa; Chordata; Mammalia; Primates; Cebidae.